CACGCUGUAAACGAUGAAAACUAAGUAUUGCCGCGAGGCAGUGCUGCAGCUAACGCAUUAAGUUUUCCGCCUGGGGAGUACGCUCGCAAGAGUGAAACUUAAAGGAAUUGACGGGGGCCCGCACAAGCAGUGGAGCAUGUGGUUUAAUUCGACGCUACGCGAAGAACCUUACCAGGACUUGACAUGGAAUUUAAAACGCUAGAGAUAGAGCCAUAACAAGUGCACACAGGUGG
This 233-nucleotide ribosomal RNA is filed under the name uncultured bacterium. RNAcentral describes it as "partial 16S ribosomal RNA". It matches the Rfam family "Bacterial small subunit ribosomal RNA", at positions 796 to 1041 of the family's 1533-position model. The record is from RNAcentral.